RNAcentral lists this long non-coding RNA (2277 nucleotides) under Sarcophilus harrisii (Tasmanian devil). RNAcentral describes it as "lncRNA (ENSSHAG00000028226.1)". Lineage: Eukaryota; Metazoa; Chordata; Mammalia; Dasyuromorphia; Dasyuridae. The record is from RNAcentral.
ACCUCUUUGCCUUUCUGGGAUGUGAUGAAGGUAACUGGAUUCCUGUAGCAGAACCACUGGAAAAGAGAUAUCGACUCUACUCACAAGAAUUAGAGGAGGGGACCUUAAAUCGUCUACUUCUGCUCCACUCCGUGAUGUUUAACUCCCUUAGGGAUGGUUCUGUUCUGAAUAUAGCUCAGCAGAUGGAGCUGCAUAAGGAGGAUACCAGCAGAGACCAGCUUGACAAUAGGAAAGACCUUCCUUGGGGAGCAAAAUUUGAACUUCCACCUAUCGUCAUAGAACCGGACAGUGAAGGGUACAAGUCAUCAAAAGCCACUCCAUCUAAAAAACCAGGAAAGAGAGAUUCUCUUCUCACUCCAACUUCCUUUCGCCUCCUGAUAACUCCGCCAGUACAUGAGAAAUCCAAUUCUCUCAGCAUGAAAAAGAUGGUCUCCAAGUUGUGUUCUCCCACCAGUUUGGAUUUAAACAUGAAAAAAUUGGGUGAGGAUGUGCCUGCUACCUCACUGAGUGCAGAGGCCUUGAAGGAGAUAGCAGUGAGUACCAAGAGCAUCUCUCUCAUUGCAGCCAGCAGGCGCUCCAAGACCCAUGAUCAAGAAGGUGGAAGCAGCCUUUCUGUGAUGCAGUCCCUUGAUGAGGGGGCAUCAGAACCAAAGUACUGGAAGCCCAAUCUCACUCCUGACCUGACAGAAUCACAGAGGAAAGCUCAGGCUGACAGGAAGCAAUUGCAGUCUAGUCCUAGGAGGGGAAGACAGAGAAACAGCUCACUGGAGCGGAGAACCAGGAGGAAAAGAUCUCCCUCUGGUAUUAGAAAUGCUCAAAUGGGAAAUGAGAAGUUCUCAAUUCCCAUGAUAGACCACCCUUCUGAAAAUCAGUCACCACAAAGUCACUCCAUGCAACAUUCUAAGGCCACUAAGACCCUGUUCCCUGCAGUUCCUGUGGCCACCAAGACCAAAUUCCCCACUAAUCACCACACAGAUGAAAACACACUGCAGGUACCUGAAAUCAGCUUCACUUUUCCCAGUGCCAUCUGGCAAUGCAAUCCAGGACAGAACCGAGGGCCAGUUCUCCCCAGAGAAGUCAAAGGGUCUGCAGAGAGUAGCAGCAGCCAUCAUAACUCUUUGCAUCCUGGAAUCACUCGAAAGCAACUGGGAGGCAGUGCGAAGAAACAGGGGAGACCAAAAUAAAAUGCCCAUUCUGAAGGAUAGCAGCUCCAAGGAGAAACUAGUAUAAACAAAGCUUCUCUUUUUUUGCUUAAAUGGAUUUGGGGAAAAGAGGGAGGAGACAGUGAAACUUGGAAGGCCCAUCAAGUUUUCAUUUCUGUCAAUCCUCUCCAUAUCAGAAAAAACAAAAAACAAAAACCACUUUUCUUUGCCUUUUAAAGACCAAGUUGGUGAUUAUCCAUUGACAAGUUUUUAAAGAAAGAUGUAAUCUUUGAUACCUUUUCCCUCCCCAGGCUUCCAAGCAGCAAUAUUCAGAGUUUUGUUUAGGGUCUGCUCAAUUGACUCCAUAAUCUAAGACAUUCCUGUCAGCAGGUAGGAAGAAGAAGCCAAAGUACUUCUAUUUUCUAGGUGCCUGACUGGGAAUAGCUGAUUACUUAGUCACAAUACUUCUCUUCUUCCUCCUUGUCCUACAUACCCCCCUCGAAUUGGACUUAAAAUCUGCCUCAAAAAUUUACUAGCUAUGAAACACUGGGCAAGUCACUUAAUGUCUUCUGUGUCUUUGUUUUUUUAAUCUAUAAAAUUAAGGAGCUGGACAUGAUGAGCUCUAAAGUCCUUUCUAGCUCUCAAGCUAUGAUUCUGUUCUUUUAUAAGGCCUGUUUCCCUUCCCUUUUCCCCCUCCACACAAAAACUCUCCAAGAUUUGGGGAGAGGGAAUCAAGAGAAGCCCUCCCACAGGAAUUUUCUCCAAUCCUUGAAUAAUUAUACCCGGGCAUCUUUCUUCCAUAUAUUACCAUCAGCCCCCAAAGACCUUUUCUUCUAGGAAAGAGGAGGCAGUGAAGUUCUCCACUUUAGGGAUUUGGAAGCCUUCUCUCUUUUCUGUGUAGGAAAUUAGCUUUUUUCAUGGGAAAUGUAAGUAAAAAUGACUUGGGCAGAGACCUGGUACUUUUACAUGAAAAGUAUAUGAAGCUUCAGUAAACAAUUAAUACCAUGUUUGUCUGAUAAAUGAUACACUUUUCUUUCUAAGGGUAGACAUAUUUUGUAAAUUAAUAUGGGGAAGGGAGAUGGCUAUAGGCUUUUGUGUUUUGUAAUACCAAAUGUAAAUAAAAUAUCAGUUGUUU